AGCGAGUGAUGAGUCUGCACCAACUGGUACCUGUGCUGUUUGUGUGGCGGGGGGCGAAAGAUCACUUGUUGCCAACUUAUCUGCUGCAAAUUGCUACAAAACUGAACAUUUGAAGAGACCAGAAAAUUGGGCAUUGGUUGAGAAGGCCAAGUACUACUAUAUAGCAGGCUUUUUUUUCUCACAGUUUCCACAGAGUCCAUUCAACUUGUUGCUGAACAUGCAGCUGCAAACAACAUGGCCUCAACUCUGAUGAUGAGGAUGAUGGGGCUAAGGUUCGAAGGUGGGAGAGAAGAGCAUGGAAACGAGGGGGAUGAAGUACAUGCAGAGUGAUCAAGGUAUGUGUAGAAAAUUCAAGCGGAAUAGGUUGAGGUCCGGCGGGCGGCCAAGGCGAGGUUGCCGCCCG
Camellia sinensis is the source of this 403-nucleotide non-coding RNA. The record is from RefSeq and is a predicted model, not a curated record. Lineage: Eukaryota; Viridiplantae; Streptophyta; Magnoliopsida; Ericales; Theaceae.